RNAcentral lists this ribosomal RNA (372 nucleotides) under uncultured organism. Its description in RNAcentral is "bacterial SSU rRNA". It matches the Rfam family "Bacterial small subunit ribosomal RNA", at positions 526 to 896 of the family's 1533-position model. The record is from RNAcentral.
CGUAGGGACCAAGCGUUGUUCGGAUUUACUGGGCGUAAAGGGCGCGUAGGCGGCGUGUUAAGUCAGCUGUGAAAUCUCCAAGCUUAACUUGGAACGGUCAGCUGAUACUGAUGUGCUAGAGUGCAGAAGGGGCAAUCGGAAUUCUUGGUGUAGCGGUGAAAUGCGUAGAUAUCAAGAGGAACACCUGAGGUGAAGACGGGUUGCUGGGCUGACACUGACGCUGAGGCGCGAAAGCUAGGGUAGCAAACGGGAUUAGAUACCCCGGUAGUCCUAGCCCUAAACGAUGAAUACUUGGUGUCUGGAGUUUUUAUUCUCCGGGUGCCGUCGCUAACGUUUUUAGUAUUCCGCCUGGGGAGUACGCACGCAAGUGUG